GAUCAUUAGUGAAUUUGUAGGGCCUGCCAUACGGAUGCGCAAGCGUCUCUGGCGCCCAACCCACUAUACAUCCACAAACCCGUGUGCACUUGUGUUGCUUUGGCCUGUAUGGGCGAGCGCACGCAUUCAAACAAACUCGUAUGGUUGUAUGUACGUUGUAAACGUUGGACCGUCACUGGCCAACAAACUUUAUACAACUUUCGACAACGGAUCUCUUGGUUCUCCCAUCGAUGAAGAACGCAGCGAAACGCGAUAGGUAAUGUGAAUUGCAGAAUUCCGUGAAUCAUCGAAUCUUUGAACGCACCUUGCGCUCCAUGGUAUUCCGUGGAGCAUGCCUGUUUGAGUGCCGCGAAUUCUCCCACCCCAAACGGUUGCCGAAAGGUACUGUGCGGCGGAGGGGUUGGAUGGGUGCUACUGCCUGUGGUGGGGAAACUACAACAGGCUCGCCCGAAAUGCAUUAGCGCCUCAGGACACAUUCGCUACUGCUCUACAAAAGGAAGAGCAGCGAAGCGUAUGGGGGGGAAAACCACCACCGGUUAUUCCAAACCUCGCCUGACUGUUUUUGCGCGCAUGGCAUGAUACGUCAUUUGCUGUGUUGCGUAGGUUGGUGCGUGGGACUGUGUGAGUGCCUCUAGAGCUUUGAGAAGUGUGUUUCGUGUGCUACGAACUGAAAAAGUACAUUCCUUUUUUUCAAUUCUGGUCUC
This 704-nucleotide unclassified non-coding RNA is filed under the name Malassezia pachydermatis. RNAcentral describes it as "sequence contains 18S rRNA gene, ITS1, 5.8S rRNA gene, ITS2, 28S rRNA gene". The stretch from base 196 to 349 matches the Rfam family "5.8S ribosomal RNA". The record is from RNAcentral. Lineage: Eukaryota; Fungi; Basidiomycota; Malasseziomycetes; Malasseziales; Malasseziaceae.